UGUAAGCGUAUACCAAAGUUGUUGCAGUUAAAACGCUCGUAGUCGGAAUUUGGCAGGUCCGGAUGUGUGCACGUCGUGUGCGCACUUCGCGGGGAUUGCUUUUGUGGUCUUGCGUAGGAUGAGGCACUUUUAUUAGUGAACGUCCUCACGCAACCACUUUUUACUGUGAGAAAAUCAGAGUGCUCAAAGCAGGCAUUUGCCGUGAAUGUAUUAGCAUGGAAUAAUAGAAUAGGACUUGGUUCUAUUUUGUUGGUUUGUUGGGACUGAGUAAUGAUUAAGAGGGACAGUUGGGGGCAUUUGUAUUUCGGUGCUAGAGGUGAAAUUCUUAGAUUACCGAAAGACAAACUGCUGCGAAAGCGUCUGCCAAGGAUGUUUUCAUUGA
Molecule: ribosomal RNA, 382 nt
Filed under: uncultured eukaryote
Lineage: Eukaryota
Description: partial 18S ribosomal RNA
Rfam family: Eukaryotic small subunit ribosomal RNA
Source: RNAcentral